Molecule: ribosomal RNA, 206 nt
Filed under: uncultured bacterium
Lineage: Bacteria
Description: partial 16S ribosomal RNA
Rfam family: Bacterial small subunit ribosomal RNA
Source: RNAcentral
CGUGUAGGCGGUUUGGUAAGUCAGAUGUAAAAGGUCCCGGCUUAACCGGGGAUGGUCAUUUGAAACUGCCAGGCUUGAGUUCGAGAGAGGGUAGCGGAAUUCCCAGUGUAGCGGUGAAAUGCGUAGAUAUUGGGAGAACACCAGUAGCGAAGGCGGCUACCUGGCUCGCAACUGACGCUAAGGCGCGAAAGCGUGGGGAGCAAACA